This 254-nucleotide ribosomal RNA is filed under the name uncultured bacterium. Its description in RNAcentral is "partial 16S ribosomal RNA". It matches the Rfam family "Bacterial small subunit ribosomal RNA", at positions 524 to 776 of the family's 1533-position model. The record is from RNAcentral.
UACGAAGGGGGCUAGCGUUGCUCGGAAUCACUGGGCGUAAAGCGCACGUAGGCGGCUUGUUAAGUCAGGGGUGAAAUCCUGGAGCUCAACUCCAGAACUGCCUUUGAUACUGGCGAGCUUGAGUUUGGGAGAGGGAUGCGGAAUUCCAGGUGUAGCGGUGAAAUGCGUAGAUAUCUGGAGGAACACCGGUGGCGAAGGCGGCAUCCUGGACCAACACUGACGCUGAGUGAGCGAAAGCCAGGGGAGCAAACGGG